This 421-nucleotide ribosomal RNA is filed under the name uncultured prokaryote. RNAcentral describes it as "bacterial SSU rRNA". It matches the Rfam family "Bacterial small subunit ribosomal RNA", at positions 355 to 774 of the family's 1533-position model. The record is from RNAcentral.
UAAGGAAUAUUGGUCAAUGGGCGCAAGCUUGAACCAGCCAUGCCGCGUGCAGGAAGACGGCCCUAUGGGUUGUAAACUGCUUUUGUCAGGGAAUAAACCUUUGUACGAGUACAGAGCUGAAGGUGCCUGAAGAAUAAGCAUCGGCUAACUCCGUGCCAGCAGCCGCGGUAAUACGGAGGAUGCAAGCGUUAUCCGGAUUCAUUGAGUUUAAAGGGUGCGCAGGCGGAUUGGUAAGUCAGGGGUGAAAUCCACAGCUCAACUGUGGAACUGCCCUUGAUACUGUCAGUCUAGAGUAUAGUUGAAGUUGGCGGAAUGUGUCAUGUAGCGGUGAAAUGCUUAGAUAUGACACAGAACACCGAUCGCGAAGGCAGCUGGCUAAGCUAUAACUGACGCUCAUGCACGAAAGCGUGGGGAUCAAACA